RNAcentral lists this ribosomal RNA (431 nucleotides) under uncultured Desulfosporosinus sp. RNAcentral describes it as "bacterial SSU rRNA". It matches the Rfam family "Bacterial small subunit ribosomal RNA", at positions 954 to 1382 of the family's 1533-position model. The record is from RNAcentral. Lineage: Bacteria; Bacillati; Bacillota; Clostridia; Eubacteriales; Desulfitobacteriaceae.
AUGCAACGCGAAGAACCUUACCUGGGCUUGACAUGCAGAGUUCAAUCGGUGAAAGCCGAUGGCCGCAAGGCGAUCUGCACAGGUGCUGCAUGGCUGUCGUCAGUUCGUGCCGUGAGGUGUUGGGUUAAGUCCCGCAACGAACGCAACCCUUGUGUCUAGUUGCCACCGGCGUGAUAAACGUCGAGCACUCUAAACAGACUGCCCGUGACAAGCGGGAGGAAGGUGGGAUGACGUCAAAUCAUCAUGCCCCUUAUGUUCUGGGCUACACACGUGCUACAAUGGCCGGUACAGACGGAGGCGAAGCCGCGAGGCGGAGCAAAUCCGAAAAAGCCGGUCUCAGUUCGGAUUGCAGGCUGCAAUUCGCCUGCAUGAAGUCGGAAUCGCUAGUAAUCGCAGGUCAGCAUACUGCGGUGAAUACGUUCCCGGGCCUU